CUUUCUUUGCUGGCGACCGGCGCACGGGUGAGUAACACGUAUCCAACCUGCCCUUUACUCGGGGAUAGCCUUUCGAAAGAAAGAUUAAUACCCGAUAGCAUAAUGAUUCCGCAUGGUUUCAUUAUUAAAGGAUUCCGGUAAAGGAUGGGGAUGCGUUCCAUUAGGUUGUUGGUGAGGUAACGGCCCACCAAGCCUUCGAUGGAUAGGGGUUCUAAGAGGAAGGUCCCCCACAUUGGAACUGAGACACGGUCCAG
This 254-nucleotide ribosomal RNA is filed under the name uncultured bacterium. Its description in RNAcentral is "partial 16S ribosomal RNA". It matches the Rfam family "Bacterial small subunit ribosomal RNA", at positions 79 to 334 of the family's 1533-position model. The record is from RNAcentral.